This 484-nucleotide ribosomal RNA is filed under the name uncultured bacterium. RNAcentral describes it as "partial 16S ribosomal RNA". It matches the Rfam family "Bacterial small subunit ribosomal RNA", at positions 29 to 523 of the family's 1533-position model. The record is from RNAcentral.
AGUGAACGCUGGCGGCGUGCUUAACACAUGCAAGUCGAACGAGAACGGAUUAUAGCUUGCUAUAAUUGUCAGCUAAGUGGCGCACGGGUGAGUAAUGUAUAGGUAAUAUGCCUCUUACUAAGGGAUAACAAAUGGAAACGUUUGCUAAUACCUUAUACUCCUUAUUAACAGAAGUUAAUAAGGGAAAGAUUUAUUGGUAAGAGAUUAGCCUGUAUUGUAUCAGUUAGUUGGUGGGGUAAUGGCUUACCAGGACUAUGACACAUAACUGGUUUGAGAGGAUGAUCGGUCACACUGGAACUGAGACACGGUCCAGACUCCUACGGGAGGCAGCAGUGGGGAAUAUUGCACAAUGGACGAAAGUCUGAUGCAGCAACGCCGCGUGGAGGAUGACACAUUUCGGUGCGUAAACUCCUUUUAUAUGGGAAGAUAAUGACGGUAUUAUAUGAAUAAGCACCGGCUAACUCCGUGCCAGCAGCCGCCGUAA